CGCUUUGGACUUUUCCUUUAGGUUCGGUGCUAACCUCUCUUGUGAGCACACUCUGCCCCUUUUCCUCCCUUUAACUCUCUGAGGUUCUCCAUUCACUUAAAAUAUUGCUUCUGGU
Molecule: non-coding RNA, 115 nt
Organism: Pteropus alecto (black flying fox)
Lineage: Eukaryota; Metazoa; Chordata; Mammalia; Chiroptera; Pteropodidae
Source: Rfam